This 31-nucleotide non-coding RNA is filed under the name unclassified sequences. RNAcentral's name for it is "S4-Bacteroidia ribosomal protein leader". It matches the Rfam family "S4-Bacteroidia ribosomal protein leader". The record is from RNAcentral.
GAUUGUAAUUUCUUUUCUACAAUCGCGGCUG